RNAcentral lists this ribosomal RNA (473 nucleotides) under uncultured bacterium. RNAcentral's name for it is "bacterial SSU rRNA". It matches the Rfam family "Bacterial small subunit ribosomal RNA", at positions 28 to 498 of the family's 1533-position model. The record is from RNAcentral.
GAUGAACGCUAGCGGAAGGCUUAAUACAUGCAAGUCGAGCGGUAGGUGGCUUCGGCCAUUGAGAGCGGCGCACGGGUGAGUAACGCGUAUAUGACCUGCCUGUCAGAAGGGGAUAGCCCUGGGAAACUGGGAUUAAUACCCUAUGGUAUUGAUAUUAUGAAUGAUAUCAAUUAAAGUUGAGGCGCUGACAGAUGGAUGUGCGUCUGAUUAGCUAGUUGGUAGGGUAACGGCCUACCAAGGCGACGAUCAGUAGGGGGCGUGAGAGCGUGGUCCCCCACACGGGUACUGAGACACGGACCCGACUCCUACGGGAGGCAGCAGUAAGGAAUAUUGGGUCAAAUGCCCCGCAAAGGGGUGAACCCAGCCAUUCCGCGUGGAGGAUGAAGGCCCUAUGGGUUGUAAACUUCUUUUAGAUGGGAAGAAAAUGCUAGAUGUAUCUGGUACUGACGGUACCAUCAGAAUAAGCACCGGCU